CACGCCGUAAACGAUGAUCACUCGUGAUUGGCGAUACACUGUCAGUCACCUAGCGAAAGCGUUAAGUGAUCCACCUGGGGAGUACGAUCGCAAGAUUGAAACUCAAAGGAAUUGACGGGGGCCCGCACAAGCGGUGGAGCAUGUGGUUUAAUUCGAUGAUACGCGAGGAACCUUACCAGGGCUUGAACGUACGUUGACAGGGGCGGAAACGUCCUCUUCUUCGGACAACGUGCGAGGUGC
This 240-nucleotide ribosomal RNA is filed under the name uncultured bacterium. RNAcentral's name for it is "partial 16S ribosomal RNA". It matches the Rfam family "Bacterial small subunit ribosomal RNA", at positions 796 to 1041 of the family's 1533-position model. The record is from RNAcentral.